GCAUGCAUAAAAAUAUAAAACCACAAAGAUCUAGUUCAUAUGCUGAAAUUGACAUAUGCUGAAAUUUAGAUUGUAAUCAAAUCAUAUACCUGUUUCGUAAUCCUUUUCUUCAAAUUUGGAUCUGAAAGAGAAGAAAAUUUUUUUUAGCUGUACAAAUAUCCGACCUCUAUGGUAUCCACUUGGGAUCAGUCUGGAACAAUCCUCUUCAAGUCAAAUUUUUUUCUCUAAGAAAAUCAGCCUGCUAAAUCUGAAUGAAGCCUGGAUCGCGAUCAAUACUUGAUCUCUUUCUUCUUCUCUUCUUCUCUUGUCUUUCUCUCUUGCUUUGUGCAGUUACCAAACACUGAAAACCAGCAAAUAGGGGACACCCAACAGCUUUGCGGGCGUGAUGAAGAAGGGAUGCCCUAAGUGGUGGGACGUGUGGACAUCCAAGAAGAGAGGAGAAGGGAGAGGAAGAGAGGGCGUGGGGGAUC
Molecule: long non-coding RNA, 470 nt
Filed under: Elaeis guineensis (African oil palm)
Lineage: Eukaryota; Viridiplantae; Streptophyta; Magnoliopsida; Arecales; Arecaceae
Description: long non-coding RNA (EGUI_LNC080226)
Source: RNAcentral